This 209-nucleotide unclassified non-coding RNA is filed under the name uncultured bacterium. RNAcentral describes it as "16S-23S ribosomal RNA intergenic spacer". The record is from RNAcentral.
CUAGGGAGUAUUUUUCUUAUAGGUUUGUUGGUGUAUCGACGCUGUCGGGUGUCUCAGGCUGUAUGCCUGGGCGCUUAACACGGCAACGCAGCAAGCAAGGUGUUUGUUUGUUGUGUUGUGGUGUGUGUUGUUUGUGAACUGUAUAGUGGAUGCGAGCAUAUUUUUUGUAUUGUUUGUUUGGUCGUGUUGGUGUGUCUGUCUGUGCGUGU